Molecule: long non-coding RNA, 1368 nt
Organism: Eucalyptus grandis
Lineage: Eukaryota; Viridiplantae; Streptophyta; Magnoliopsida; Myrtales; Myrtaceae
Exons: 2
Source: RefSeq, a predicted model, not a curated record
UUUCUAACUCGCUCCGAUCGAUCGAUCAUCGCCUUUAAGAUUGUCGGUCUUCUCUUUUAGGCUAUAUGCUACAUCUUUGCUGUUAUGAAUACUUAAAAAGUUACACCAUCAGUUACAAGAUCCUUGCUCUCUCUCUCUCUGGCUCUGUCUUUGAGAUGUAGUCAGGGUGGUGGAUCAUCGAUUCUGGGAAGGUUUCUAUGCGGGGAGGGUUUAACAUUACAAUAGGAUUACUUUACGUGAUGAUCACUUCAGAUGUCGUGGAAUGUUUAAACUGAAGAUUGAUGGCACAAAUGAAAACGCGUUGAUUAAGACAACCGGUAGUAUUCAUUCUAUUUUUCUUCGUCUAACAUUUCUUUCUGGUGUCUCUAUGCAAAAUCAGUGGCGACGAUGAUCAAUCAAUUACUCACAUAGAAAGCCAGUUGCUCAGGCUCCAAGAGGCCUUAAAAUUAGCAGCACCUAUUGCACACCAAGAAUGCCCACUUGUGCUUUUUUUCUGAACAUCUGCUGGUUUAUUUGUCUAAUAAGGACAUUUUUUUCCAAUUAGAUACUCAAAUAGAAAGCCCUUCUCUUUGGCUUGAGAGUAUAUUAACAUCUUCACAUAGGCCAACAAAUAUAAGUACCUGCCCAGCGCUUAUGGUUUCGUGGUUAUGUACCAGUUUCAUGUCAAUUCAAGUGGACAUAGUAUUUACUUAAUCAGUGUUUUAUGAUGCACAUAAAAGUGUACAUUUGAUUUAGUUUUUCAUAAUGCCUGAUGAAUGUAGAGUUGUAAAAAAUACUGAAGUCAUUGAAAAGAAAAUCACAGAGGAUGUCAUGGUGCGUGGACUAGGCUUAUAGUAUCUCCCAGCCCUAAUGUUGCAAGUGUGAUGGCUUGAUAUCAUUGGGACCUAGAGUUAAAUUGAAUAUCCUUUGGCAUCGACUAGGUUUGCCUGUUUCUGUUGUGCAGGUUUUGUUGGGUACGGGUGGUAUGAUUUUUCUUGCUUGACUUUUAUUAUAUGGAGAAUUUGGAAAGACAUGUCUACAAAUACAGGCCCUUUUUUGAUUUAUCAGGUGAUUGGAGAAGCUACCUAAUUUGAUUGUGUGAUCCCAUCUUCUGGACUUUAUGGUGCCCUGCUUCCUUGGAGUGUUUUUCACUGGUCUGGUUCUUGGGAUAUCAAUUGAUCUUUAUUGUAGUAGGACUUUCCGAUUUCCUUUGAUCAAUAUAGAUCUCCACAACUCCACUUAACUUCUCCACAGGGUUCUAGUUGUACAUUACUACUGUCUGCUAUUCAAAGGAAAGCCUAUGACAAUGACAAUGAGGAUUUUGCUGACUAGCCCUGGUCCUUCAGAUCUGUGUGCACUCCUAUGGAAGUUCCACUUAUUGUGGCGACA